This 2903-nucleotide ribosomal RNA is filed under the name Klebsiella michiganensis. Its description in RNAcentral is "23S ribosomal RNA". It matches the Rfam family "Bacterial large subunit ribosomal RNA". Lineage: Bacteria; Pseudomonadati; Pseudomonadota; Gammaproteobacteria; Enterobacterales; Enterobacteriaceae. The record is from RNAcentral.
UUAAGCGACUAAGCGUACACGGUGGAUGCCCUGGCAGUCAGAGGCGAUGAAGGACGUGCUAAUCUGCGAAAAGCGUCGGUAAGGUGAUAUGAACCGUUACAGCCGGCGAUGUCCGAAUGGGGAAACCCAGUGCAAUUCGUUGCACUAUCGUUAACUGAAUACAUAGGUUAACGAGGCGAACCGGGGGAACUGAAACAUCUAAGUACCCCGAGGAAAAGAAAUCAACCGAGAUUCCCCCAGUAGCGGCGAGCGAACGGGGAGCAGCCCGGAGUCUGAAUCAGCUUGUGUGUUAGUGGAAGCGUCUGGAAAGUCGCAGGGUACAGGGUGAUACUCCCGUACACUAAAACGCACAGGUUGUGAACUCGAAGAGUAGGGCGGGACACGUGGUAUCCUGUCUGAAUAUGGGGGGACCAUCCUCCAAGGCUAAAUACUCCUGACUGACCGAUAGUGAACCAGUACCGUGAGGGAAAGGCGAAAAGAACCCCGGCGAGGGGAGUGAAAAAGAACCUGAAACCGUGUACGUACAAGCAGUAGGAGCCCACUAGUUGGGUGACUGCGUACCUUUUGUAUAAUGGGUCAGCGACUUAUAUUCUGUAGCAAGGUUAACCGUAUAGGGGAGCCGCAGGGAAACCGAGUCUUAACUGGGCGUUAAGUUGCAGGGUAUAGACCCGAAACCCGGUGAUCUAGCCAUGGGCAGGUUGAAGGUUGGGUAACACUAACUGGAGGACCGAACCGACUAAUGUUGAAAAAUUAGCGGAUGACUUGUGGCUGGGGGUGAAAGGCCAAUCAAACCGGGAGAUAGCUGGUUCUCCCCGAAAGCUAUUUAGGUAGCGCCUCGUGAAUUCAUCUUCGGGGGUAGAGCACUGUUUCGGCUAGGGGGUCAUCCCGACUUACCAACCCGAUGCAAACUACGAAUACCGAAGAAUGUUAUCACGGGAGACACACGGCGGGUGCUAACGUCCGUCGUGAAGAGGGAAACAACCCAGACCGCCAGCUAAGGUCCCAAAGUCAUGGUUAAGUGGGAAACGAUGUGGGAAGGCCCAGACAGCCAGGAUGUUGGCUUAGAAGCAGCCAUCAUUUAAAGAAAGCGUAAUAGCUCACUGGUCGAGUCGGCCUGCGCGGAAGAUGUAACGGGGCUAAACCAUGCACCGAAGCUGCGGCAGCGACACUAUGUGUUGUUGGGUAGGGGAGCGUUCUGUAAGCCGUUGAAGGUGGCCUGUGAGGGUUGCUGGAGGUAUCAGAAGUGCGAAUGCUGACAUAAGUAACGAUAAUGCGGGUGAAAAACCCGCACGCCGGAAGACCAAGGGUUCCUGUCCAACGUUAAUCGGGGCAGGGUGAGUCGACCCCUAAGGCGAGGCCGAAAGGCGUAGUCGAUGGGAAACAGGUUAAUAUUCCUGUACUCGGUGUUACUGCGAAGGGGGGACGGAGAAGGCUAUGUUGGCCGGGCGACGGUUGUCCCGGUUUAAGCAUGUAGGCGGAUGUUCCAGGUAAAUCCGGAACGUUACUAACGCUGAGGUGUGAUGACGAGGCACUACGGUGCUGAAGUGACAAAUGCCCUGCUUCCAGGAAAAGCCUCUAAGCAUCAGGUAACAUCAAAUCGUACCCCAAACCGACACAGGUGGUCAGGUAGAGAAUACCAAGGCGCUUGAGAGAACUCGGGUGAAGGAACUAGGCAAAAUGGUGCCGUAACUUCGGGAGAAGGCACGCUGAUGGUAGGUGAAGCGACUUGCUCGUGGAGCUGAAAUCAGUCGAAGAUACCAGCUGGCUGCAACUGUUUAUUAAAAACACAGCACUGUGCAAACACGAAAGUGGACGUAUACGGUGUGACGCCUGCCCGGUGCCGGAAGGUUAAUUGAUGGGGUUAUCCGUAAGGAGAAGCUCUUGAUCGAAGCCCCGGUAAACGGCGGCCGUAACUAUAACGGUCCUAAGGUAGCGAAAUUCCUUGUCGGGUAAGUUCCGACCUGCACGAAUGGCGUAAUGAUGGCCAGGCUGUCUCCACCCGAGACUCAGUGAAAUUGAACUCGCUGUGAAGAUGCAGUGUACCCGCGGCAAGACGGAAAGACCCCGUGAACCUUUACUAUAGCUUGACACUGAACACUGGUCCUUGAUGUGUAGGAUAGGUGGGAGGCUUUGAAGUGUGGACGCCAGUCUGCAUGGAGCCAUCCUUGAAAUACCACCCUUUAAUGGCUGGUGUUCUAACGUGGGCCCCUAAUCGGGGUUGCGGACAGUGUCUGGUGGGUAGUUUGACUGGGGCGGUCUCCUCCUAAAGAGUAACGGAGGAGCACGAAGGUCAGCUAAUCCUGGUCGGACAUCAGGAGGUUAGUGCAAUGGCAUAAGCUGGCUUGACUGCGAGCGUGACGGCGCGAGCAGGUGCGAAAGCAGGUCAUAGUGAUCCGGUGGUUCUGAAUGGAAGGGCCAUCGCUCAACGGAUAAAAGGUACUCCGGGGAUAACAGGCUGAUACCGCCCAAGAGUUCAUAUCGACGGCGGUGUUUGGCACCUCGAUGUCGGCUCAUCACAUCCUGGGGCUGAAGUAGGUCCCAAGGGUAUGGCUGUUCGCCAUUUAAAGUGGUACGCGAGCUGGGUUUAGAACGUCGUGAGACAGUUCGGUCCCUAUCUGCCGUGGGCGCUGGAGAAUUGAGGGGGGCUGCUCCUAGUACGAGAGGACCGGAGUGGACGCAUCACUGGUGUUCGGGUUGUCAUGCCAAUGGCAUUGCCCGGUAGCUAAAUGCGGAAGAGAUAAGUGCUGAAAGCAUCUAAGCACGAAACUUGCCCCGAGAUGAGUUCUCCCUGACCCUUUAAGGGUCCUGAAGGAACGUUGAAGACGACGACGUUGAUAGGCCGGGUGUGUAAGCGCAGCGAUGCGUUGAGCUAACCGGUACUAAUGAACCGUGAGGCUUAACCU